RNAcentral lists this ribosomal RNA (1486 nucleotides) under Candidatus Nanoarchaeia archaeon. RNAcentral's name for it is "bacterial SSU rRNA". It matches the Rfam family "Archaeal small subunit ribosomal RNA". RNAcentral also lists the same sequence under 1 other name. Lineage: Archaea; Nanobdellati; Nanobdellota; Candidatus Nanoarchaeia. The record is from RNAcentral.
ACUCCGGUUGAUCCUGCCGGCGGCCACUGCUAUCGGGCUGGGUCAGCCAUGCAAGUCUGCUGAGCUUUAAGCUCAGCGGCGCACGGCUCCGUAAUAUGCAGACAACUUACUCUGAGGUGGGGGAUAACCCCGGGAAACUGAGGCUAAUCCCCCAUAGUUGAGAGCUUCUGGAAGGCCUCUCAACGAAAGGUUCAUCCGGAUGUGGAUGAGCCGCCUCAGAAUAGGUCUGCAUCCUAUCAGGUAGUUGGUGGGGUAAUGGCCCACCAAGCCUAAGACGGGUACGGGCCCUGAGAGGGGGCGCCCGGAGAGGGACACUGAGACAAGGGUCCCAGCCCCACGGGGUGCAGCAGGCGCGAAUUUUCCACAACUCCCGAAAGGGAGGUGGAGCCAGCCCGAGUGCCUUCACCUCUUGGUGGAGGCUUUUGCCCUGUGUAAAAAGCAGGGCGAAUAAGCGGGGGGCAAGAUGGGUGCCAGCAGCCGCGGUAAUACCCACCCCGCGAGUGGUGGCCACAAUUAUUGGGUUUAAAACACCCGUAGCCGGCCCAGCAAGUGCUCUGUGAAAUCCUCACUUGCAGUGAGGGCGGGCAGAGCAUACUGCUGGGCUAGGGACCGGGAGGGGCCAGGGGUAUUCCUGGAGGAGGGGUAAAAUCCUAUCAUCCCAGGAGGACCAUCAGUGGCGAAGGCGCCUGGCUGGAACGGGUCCGACGGUGAGGGGUGAAGGCUGGGGGAGCGAACGGGAUUAGAUACCCCGGUAGUCCCAGCAGUAAACGCUGCCCACUAGGUGUCGCGGGGCCCUAGUGGUCUCGCGGUGCCGAAGCGAAAGCAUUAAGUGGGCUACCUGGGGAGUACAGCCGCAAGGCCGAAACUUAAAGGAAUUGGCGGGGGAGCACAACAAGGGGUGAAGCCUGCGGUUUAAUUGGAGUCAACGCCGGGAACCUCACCUAGGGCGACAGCAGGAUGAAGGACAGUCUAAAGGGCUUUCCUGACGCGCUGAGAGGAGGUGCAUGGCCGCCGUCAGCUCGUACCGUGAGGUGUCCCCUUAAGUGGGGCAACGAGCGAGACCCUCGCCCCUAGUUGCUACCUACAGCACUUGCUGUAGGGCACACUAGGGGGACUGCGCCCGUUAAGGGCGAGGAAGGUGAGGGCGACGACAGGUCAGUAUGCCCCGAAUCCCUAGGGCUACACGCGGGCUGCAAUGCGUAGGACAAUGGGAUGCCACCCCGAAAGGGGGAGCAAAUCCCCUAAACCUACGCCCAGUUCAGAUCGAGGGCUGCAACUCGCCCUCGUGAAGCCGGAAUCCCUAGUAACCGCGGUUCAUCACGCCGCGGUGAAUACGUCCCUGCUCCUUGCACACACCGCCCGUCAAGCCAACCGAGUCGGGUUUAGGUGAGUGGCAAUCUUCGGGUUGUCACGAACCUAAACCUGGCGAGGGGGGCUAAGCCGUCACAAGGUAGCCGUACGGGAACGUGCGGCUGGAUCACCUCCU